GGAGUUUUUGGUAUAGGUAAAAUAAAUAUUGUCUUGUAGUAUAUUUGGUAUAGGUAAAAUAAAUAUUGUCUAGUAGUAUAUUUGGUCUAGGUAAAAUAAAUAUUGUCUAGUAGUAUAUUCUUCUCCUUCUUUGAAACCUUCUUCUCUGAUAGUGGGAGUAGAUUGACUGAUGAUAUCUGAAUAUUUCUGAUAUUAGGUAUAGUUGUUUUCUAUAUUUAUCUAAACAGAUUCUGUUAUUUUGUUCUAGGUAGAUAAAAUGUACUGCUAGAUCUAUUAUAGAAUAGAAUCCACUAUCUAUGUCUAUUAUAAAUUCUUCUAAAUUUUGAGUAAGGCUUCUAGCAAAACUUUCUGGAUGGGUGUAGUUGUUGCGGUUAUUGGACAUUAAUAGUAAAAAUUCUUUGUAGUUAAAUCUUAUAUUUGUGAAAAUCCUACUCGGUACUCUCUCUCUUUUAUUCUAUAGACUUGUAAAGUUAACAUAUUAGCUAAAUUAUGAACUGAUAUUACCCCGUAACUCUUUUUUUUUUACUCUGUUCAUC
This 536-nucleotide long non-coding RNA is filed under the name Nicotiana tabacum (common tobacco). RNAcentral describes it as "long non-coding RNA (NTAB_LNC004331)". Lineage: Eukaryota; Viridiplantae; Streptophyta; Magnoliopsida; Solanales; Solanaceae. The record is from RNAcentral.